Molecule: ribosomal RNA, 686 nt
Filed under: Epsilonematidae sp. 615_6-1500
Lineage: Eukaryota; Metazoa; Nematoda; Chromadorea; Desmodorida; Epsilonematidae
Description: eukaryotic LSU rRNA
Rfam family: Eukaryotic large subunit ribosomal RNA
Source: RNAcentral
UGAGAGUUCAAGAGGGCGUGAAACCGUUUAGAAGUAAACGGAUGGACCCGACAGUGAGUCGGCAGCAUUCAACUCUUUGUCCCACCAUUGCACAGUGUGGUUUCGUACUUGACUGAGCAUAUGUGGUCAAGGAGUGCAUUUGCUGUCGAUGAGCACUAGGGCCUGUGACGGCGCUGGAAUAAAGUGGGCAAUUGCCGGCCACACCUGUGUGGUGUUCCCGUUGCUCGCUGUAACCGGGUUGCUGUGACAGGAGAAAUCAUUGCACGGGGCCCGCCUUUACUCGACUGCUGGGAGAGCCUUGUCAAAUGAAGUGCAAUUCCUUGCUCGCAAGACUUUGCGAUGCCUGGCUCGGUAAUUCUGGUAGAUCGAGUGGGUCCUGAACCCUGGUGAUUUUGUCGGCCACCCAUCCGACCCGUCUUGAAACACGGACCAAGGAGUCUAACAUGUGCGCGAGUCAAUGGGUGGGAAAACCCAGAGGCGAAAUGAAAGUGAAGCCUGGUUCGGCUGGGUGUCAUGGGACCCUUUGUCGUUGGUGGCAGAGGAGCACCAUGGUCCCGUUCAUGCUGCAUCGUCAGCAGGGCGGAGAUUGAGCGUACACGUUGGGACCCGAAAGAUGGUGAACUAUGCCUGAGCAGGAUGAAGCCAGAGGAAACUCUGGUGGAGGUCCAUAGCGAUUCUGACGUGCA